UACGUAGGGGGCAAGCGUUGUCCGGAAUCAUUGGGCGUAAAGCGCGUGUAGGCGGCCCGGUAAGUCCGCUGUAAAAGUCUAGGGCUCAACCCUGGAAGGCCGGUGGAUACUGUCGGGCUCGAGUCCGGAAGAGGCGAGUGGAAUUCCUGGUGUAGCGGUGAAAUGCGCAGAUAUCAGGAGGAACACCAGUGGCGAAGGCAGCUCGCUGGGACGGUACUGACGCUGAGACGCGAAAGCGUGGGGAGCAAACAGG
RNAcentral lists this ribosomal RNA (253 nucleotides) under uncultured bacterium. RNAcentral describes it as "partial 16S ribosomal RNA". It matches the Rfam family "Bacterial small subunit ribosomal RNA", at positions 524 to 776 of the family's 1533-position model. The record is from RNAcentral.